AAGUGUCAUCUGCAGUGUUACAAAAUAAUAUUGGAUUUAUAUUAAUAAGAAAAAGAACUACCAGAAGGAGAGAGUAAAGAGGAACAGACAUAUCACACCAUAAGACCGGCUUCAAAAUCUGAAUAUACAGAAUGAAUUUUGCUCACUGCAGCUCCUUGUGAAGGAACACCUUUGUUGUAUUGACAUAAAAACAACGGAAUUGUUAGGAUCUUUGAACAUGACACAACUGGCUGCAUGCGAUGGCAAUUAAAAAUGCAUACAUGUU
Molecule: long non-coding RNA, 265 nt
Organism: Saccostrea cuccullata (small rock oyster)
Lineage: Eukaryota; Metazoa; Mollusca; Bivalvia; Ostreida; Ostreidae
Exons: 2
Source: RefSeq, a predicted model, not a curated record